AUUGAACGCUGGCGGCAUGCCUUACACAUGCAAGUCGAACGGCAGCACGGGUGCUUGCACCUGGUGGCGAGUGGCGAACGGGUGAGUAAUACAUCGGAACAUGUCCUGUAGUGGGGGAUAGCCCGGCGAAAGCCGGAUUAAUACCGCAUACGAUCUACGGAUGAAAGCGGGGGACCUUCGGGCCUCGCGCUAUAGGGUUGGCCGAUGGCUGAUUAGCUAGUUGGUGGGGUAAAGGCCUACCAAGGCGACAUCAGUAGCUGGUCUGAGAGGACGACCAGCCACACUGGGACUGAGACACGGCCCAGACUCCUACGGGAGGCAGCAGUGGGGAAUUUUGGACAAUGGGCGAAAGCCUGAUCCAGCAAUGCCGCGUGUGUGAAGAAGGCCUUCGGGUUGUAAAGCACUUUUGUCCGGAAAGAAAUCCUUGGCUCUAAUACAGUCGGGGGAUGACGGUACCGGAAGAAUAAGCACCGGCUAACUACGUGCCAGCAGCCGCGGUAAUACGUAGGGUGCAAGCGUAAUCGGAAUUACUGGGCGUAAAGCGUGCGCAGGCGGUUUGCUAAGACCGAUGUGAAAUCCCCGGGCUCAACCUGGGAACUGCAUUGGUGACUGGCAGGCUAGAGUAUGGCAGAGGGGGGUAGAAUUCCACGUGUAGCAGUGAAAUGCGUAGAGAUGUGGAGGAAUACCGAUGGCGAAGGCAGCCCCCUGGGCCAAUACUGACGCUCAUG
This 728-nucleotide ribosomal RNA is filed under the name Burkholderia cepacia. RNAcentral describes it as "bacterial SSU rRNA". It matches the Rfam family "Bacterial small subunit ribosomal RNA", at positions 28 to 751 of the family's 1533-position model. The record is from RNAcentral. Lineage: Bacteria; Pseudomonadati; Pseudomonadota; Betaproteobacteria; Burkholderiales; Burkholderiaceae.